AUGGAUGAGCACAGCUCGCAGUCCGCCAGCUGUGGCGACCAUGGUGAUGGCGGCGGCAACGACGGUCUGGGCGCAGCAGCCGCUGGGUCUGAUUCCGACUUCGACGGGUCGUCCUCAAGCGCUGUUCCUGCAGAUCCACCCAACCCAACAUCACGCAUCUCCGUGAAGCAUGCAGUGUGUGUGAUCCGGAAGUUUGACGACUACAAGAAGUGGUUGGUGGAGCAGAUUGGAUUUGGCGGUAUGCUGAAGCUGCCAGCCCUGCAGAAGUUGAGUCUGAAGUCGAGCGCUUGGAUUAUGAGUAGAGUUAGCGUCAGCCGCCGGGAGAUCAAGCUGAGGGACAACAAGGUUCUGAUUUUUUUUGCUGAGGAUGUACACAAGGUUUUUGGGAUUCCAUGUGGACAUCGUAGUGUCAAGGGCAGGGAUGCAAGCAUAAAUCCUGAGGCUGUGCAAUUCAUAAAGACAACUCUCCAGAUGAACAGAACCGGUGUUCAUAGUUUGAAGGCAGCUGAAGAUUUUUUGAUGCGCGACAUCAAUGAGAAUUCAAGCAAGUUAGAGAAAGAUUGUUUCCAGAUUGCCUUCGUGAUAUUUGUAAUGGGUCAUGUGCUAGUUCCAUCAACGAAGCACAACUACACGACCAUCGACUUCUGGGGAGCGGUGGCUAGCACUGAGUCCAUAGACCAGUUCAAUUGGUGCGAGUAUGUGCUUCAGCACCUCCUUGACGCAGUCACUAAGCUGAAGAAAGAUAUGUUGGCCAACAAUUUGUCGACCAAUUUAACGGGUUGCCACCUUUUCUUCCAGGUCUUUCUCAUCGACAACCUUGAUCUAGGUGUCUGUAACAAGUCGCACAACGUGCUCCCCAGAAUUGCUGACUUCGACCCCGAGUCGUUCCGUCGAAUGCUCACCAUGGCUGUUGACCCGAUCAAGGGCACUACUUCGUACUCGCAUGCCAAUCUGAGAGAUGCAUCGUCAGUUUGUUAUACGAGACAGAAGUUUCCGCAUUCAGCUCCGUCUUUCGCAACCACCAGUAGGCUUUCAAGGCGGCGUGGAACCCCGGCGGCAGGACACACGAGGAGCACUCCACCCCUAUUGUGUGGUAAUGCAGGCCGCCAAGCUAACCUGAGCGGUCGAACACCAACCGACGGCGCUCCCGGGGCACUUGACUUUGCAAGAUAUCUGCGGGAGAAGUAUCCACACCUAGUACAAGACGAGUUGACUAUGAUUUUAAAACAGCACAACGCGAUGGCCCUCAUGCAUCUAAAUCAAGCAAGCAACUCAAUCCAGCAGGCUUUGUUGCAAGCCAAAAAUGGGCUACAAAUGGACAUGUACAAGUUUUCAGACAAAGUGGUUAACUCAGUCACAAGGCGUUGUGUGUGUUGCCGCGCACGGGGCUUUACUGAGUGUCCGGAGCCAGCGGCUCCAACGAAUUCCAAGUCGGUUCGGUUCAGGACACCUGUGGCAGAAAGAAUUCAGGGACAAAGGCUUGACCUAUCUGGUUGUGAAGCGACAUCGCCUGUUGCACCAGCUGGGCUAUUGCGGAAACGCAUCUUCAACGCAGAGGAUUCUAACUCUACCAGCAAGAAAUCGACACCAGGGUCAUCUCACAAUCUGUUCAAUUACUUCAAGUCAUGCUUAAUGUCAAUCGCUGAAAUGUAUGCAGACCUCCCAGCCAACACGCCUUUAACUGUGUUCGGACAACGUUGCACUAAUCUAGAGAGGCGGAAAUACAUAUUCUAG
This 1734-nucleotide ribosomal RNA is filed under the name Triticum aestivum (bread wheat). Its description in RNAcentral is "partial small subunit ribosomal RNA". The record is from RNAcentral. Lineage: Eukaryota; Viridiplantae; Streptophyta; Magnoliopsida; Poales; Poaceae.